This 274-nucleotide ribosomal RNA is filed under the name uncultured bacterium. RNAcentral's name for it is "partial 16S ribosomal RNA". It matches the Rfam family "Bacterial small subunit ribosomal RNA", at positions 524 to 796 of the family's 1533-position model. The record is from RNAcentral.
GACGAACCGUGCGAACGUUAUUCGGAAUCACUGGGCUUAAAGCGCGUGUAGGCGGCCCGGCGCGUCGGACGCUGAAAGCCCCCGGCUCAACCGGGGAACGGGCGCCGAGACGGCCGGGCUGGAGGCUGGCAGGGGGAGCCGGAACCGCCGGUGGAGCGGUGAAAUGCGUUGAGAUCGGCGGGAACGCCCGUGGCGAAAGCGGGCUCCUGGACCAGGCCUGACGCUGAGACGCGAAAGCCAGGGGAGCGAACGGGAUUAGAAACCCGCGUAGUCC